CAGUCGCCGCGGUAAUACGUAGGUGGCAAGCGUUGUCCGGAAUUAUUGGGCGUAAAGGGCUCGCAGGCGGUUUCUUAAGUCUGAUGUGAAAGCCCCCGGCUCAACCGGGGAGGGUCAUUGGAAACUGUUAAACUUGAGUGCGGGAGAGAAAAGUGGAAUUCUUAGUGUAGCGGUGAAAUGCGUAGAGAUUAGGAGGAACACCAGUGGCGAAGGCGGCUUUUUGGCCUGUAACUGACACUGAGGCGCGAAAGCGUGGGGAGCAAACAGGAUUAGAUACCCGCGUAGUCCCUGUCUCUUAUAC
This 301-nucleotide ribosomal RNA is filed under the name uncultured bacterium. RNAcentral's name for it is "partial 16S ribosomal RNA". It matches the Rfam family "Bacterial small subunit ribosomal RNA", at positions 509 to 807 of the family's 1533-position model. The record is from RNAcentral.